CAUUGGAUUUGAGUGCGAGAACAUGAGGUUUUCGGUGUGAAACAGAAACACCUACAAAAUUAUUAUGCACGAGGUUUUCUGGAUUAGACAGCAUCUGGAAAAGAUCGGAUAACUACAAGAGAGCAUGUGUGUGCAAUGAUUUAUUUGCUGCAAAUAUAAGGACGAGCAGGAGCAGUGGGAAAUGGGAAUCAGUUCGUAAGAUUCAUUCUGAUCUGUGUACGUGAACUUCUAUCCUUUUCGGAAAACUCGUAAGAGUGGCGGGUCCUACAUGGAUCCGAAUUCAUAUGAUCCAUCCAUUGAAUCAAUCAGUUGUGACACACACUGCGUACAUGGGAUUCAUGUCUCAAUUCGUCCCCCUGUGCUGCUAAACGCUACCCUGUGUCUGGGAAAUAAUGUGGGUUCUUAUCUCCAACCGUUUCAACACCGCCUCCGAUAGUAAAUGGCCCAUUAUCCGAAUCCCCCUCCCUCUCUGUCUCUCUCUACUUCCCUAACCCUUCAUCCAACCAAACAUUUUCCUUUCGAAUUUUUUCAAAAAAGAAAAAAGAAAAAGAAAAACAGGAGAGUUUUUAUCCUUUCUAUAAAUUUAUUAAAAAAUAAAAUAAAAAAGUAAAAUAUAUGAAGAGCAAAACUGGAAUUUUGCUCCUGCCCGAUUGCCACCUGAGCUAGUAAGCAAACAAAGAGGUAGGCCAAGUGUUGUAUAAGAGAGUUAAACAGUGAGGCUGGCCGUGGACACGACAUGUCCUGUUCGCUAUGCCAAGUAUUCAACCAAAAGCCACGUUUCAGGUUAUGUCUCAUAACUCCUUCCUUCCUUCCUUGUCGUAUAAAUACCGCCACCCUUUUCACUUAUGGCUUAUCACACGCACCAAAAGCAAAAACAGAAGAAAAAGAGGAAGAAAAGAGAGAGAGAGAGAGAGCUCGGAAACACAGACACAAUCCCUACCCCUUUAAAUCCCAGAGUAGUGUGUCACUGUCAAUCAACCACAAUGUUGAAGUCAGAGAUGAGCAGCGUUAAGGUUGGGGAAAGAAAGCAAGUGAAGAGGCCUGCACAGGCCAGUUCAAGAAAGGGGUGCAUGAGAGGGAAAGGAGGCCCUGAGAAUGCCAUGUGCACUUACAAAGGUGUGAGGCAGAGGACUUGGGGGAAAUGGGUGGCUGAAAUCCGUGAGCCCAACCGAGGUGCUCGUCUCUGGCUUGGCACUUUUGACACCUCCCAUGAAGCUGCUUCGGCUUAUGAUGCUGCUGCGCGCAAACUCUACGGUUCCCAGGCCAAGCUCAAUUUGCCUGAUCAAUAUCACCAUCAAGUCCCUUCCUCUGCCAACACCCACAUGCUUUCACAGACGCCAAACCCAUCAGCCCAACUAACCCUUCUGCAUCAGAAUCCAUCAGGUACUUCCAGUGCCUGUUUAUCAAACGAUUAUGCUGCUCCUCUCAACGAUGUUGCAGUUCCAGUACUUCGCGAUCAUUUUCCGAAUGUGAAAGCUCAUCAGCCCCAUGGUACUUACCCUGAGCCUAAGCCAGAGGCAGAGCACAGCAAGAUGAAAGUGGAGGAGAAUAUGAGUGGCAAUGAAGGAAUGGAGUCUGGAAUUUUCUGGGGCAACGUAAGCGGAAACUUUCCGAUGUUCGAUGACUCGAUAUGGGUGGAGGCAGCCAUGUCCCUUGAUUUUCCGGUGAUAGAAGAUCAUGGCAUUUUUUCCAGCAACUUCGUCGAUGGAAGUGUUUGGGAACCAUUGCAGCCAUCUCCAUGGUGCGUGUAAAUGUGAAGCUACAGAGCUAAAGAGGGUGUCCUAGGAAAUGAAGUUGCACAAAUUAGAACCUCAGUACUUGUAUAAAUGACCACUCGAGCUUGCGCCUUGCAUGCCCUAUUGUCCUUGUGUAUGAUAUGAUUAUGAACAAAUACAAAUAUACAAGUAUAGAGCGGUGGUUGUCCUCUCCUCUUGAAGCUUUGAGUUUGAACUUGUCCAUAUCACAGCUGAGCUGAGACACAAGUCCCAUUAAUUCAUCUCUAUCUCUGUCUCAAGUCGGGGCCUGCUUUGAAACAAGGCAUCAAUCACCAAAGACUCAAAACGUUUCUGCACUUAUUGCA
Molecule: RNA transcript, 2080 nt
Organism: Prunus persica (peach)
Lineage: Eukaryota; Viridiplantae; Streptophyta; Magnoliopsida; Rosales; Rosaceae
Gene name: dehydration-responsive element-binding protein 2D
Exons: 4
Source: RefSeq, a predicted model, not a curated record